UACGUAGGGUGCAAGCGUUGUCCGGAAUUAUUGGGCGUAAAGGGCUCGUAGGCGGUUUGUCGCGUCGGGAGUGAAAUCCACUGGCUUAACUGGUGGCUUGCUUUCGAUACGGGCAGACUGGAGGUAUGCAGGGGAGAACGGAAUUCCUGGUGUAGCGGUGGAAUGCGCAGAUAUCAGGAGGAACACCGGUGGCGAAGGCGGGUCUCUGGGCAGUAACUGACGCUGAGGAGCGAAAGCGUGGGGAGCGAACAGG
This 253-nucleotide ribosomal RNA is filed under the name uncultured bacterium. RNAcentral's name for it is "partial 16S ribosomal RNA". It matches the Rfam family "Bacterial small subunit ribosomal RNA", at positions 524 to 776 of the family's 1533-position model. The record is from RNAcentral.